Echria macrotheca is the source of this 129-nucleotide non-coding RNA. NCBI's taxonomy places the organism in Eukaryota, Fungi, Ascomycota, Sordariomycetes, Sordariales, Schizotheciaceae. The record is from the annotation of a GenBank genome assembly.
GGCAAAGUGGCCGAGCGGUCUAAGGCGCCACGUUAAGGUUUAACCUUGAUUCAUUGACUUCCUCAGUUCCUGAGGUUGGAAAGAGUUCCGUGGUCCGAAAGGGCGUGAGUUCGAAUCUCACCUUUGUCA